RNAcentral lists this ribosomal RNA (506 nucleotides) under uncultured bacterium. RNAcentral describes it as "partial 16S ribosomal RNA". It matches the Rfam family "Bacterial small subunit ribosomal RNA", at positions 29 to 523 of the family's 1533-position model. The record is from RNAcentral.
AGUGAACGCUGGCGGUAGGCCUAACACAUGCAAGUCGAACGGCAGCACAGGAGAGCUUGCUCUCUGGGUGGCGAGUGGCGGACGGGUGAGGAAUACAUCGGAAUCUACUCUGUCGUGGGGGAUAACGUAGGGAAACUUACGCUAAUACCGCAUACGACCUACGGGUGAAAGCAGGGGACCUUCGGGCCUUGCGCGAUUGAAUGAGCCGAUGUCGGAUUAGCUAGUUGGCGGGGUAAAGGCCCACCAAGGCGACGAUCCGUAGCUGGUCUGGGAGGAUGAUCAGCCACACUGGAACUGAGACACGGUCCAGACUCCUACGGGAGGCAGCAGUGGGGAAUAUUGGACAAUGGGCGCAAGCCUGAUCCAGCCAUACCGCGUGGGUGAAGAAGGCCUUCGGGUUGUAAAGCCCUAUUGUUGGGAAAGAAAUCCAGCUGGCUAAUACCCGGUUGGGAUGACGGUACCCAAAGAAUAAGCAUCGGCUAACUUCGUGCCAGCCGCCGCGGUAA